UGCGCAGGCGGUUCGGAAAGAGAGGUGUGAAAUCCCAGGGCUCAACCUUGGAACUGCACUUUUAACUACCGAGCUAGAGUAUGUCAGAGGGGGGUGGAAUUCCGCGUGUAGCAGUGAAAUGCGUAGAUAUGCGGAGGAACACCGAUGGCGAAGGCAGCCCCCUGGGAUAAUACUGACGCUCAUGCAUGAAAGCGUGGGGAGCAAACA
Molecule: ribosomal RNA, 207 nt
Filed under: uncultured bacterium
Lineage: Bacteria
Description: partial 16S ribosomal RNA
Rfam family: Bacterial small subunit ribosomal RNA
Source: RNAcentral